This is a non-coding RNA of Candidatus Glomeribacter gigasporarum BEG34, 127 nucleotides long. Lineage: Bacteria; Pseudomonadati; Pseudomonadota; Betaproteobacteria; Burkholderiales; Burkholderiaceae. The record is from Rfam.
AAUGAGGUGAAAGUCCCCUGACGCCAAUUGCCUAUUCGGGCGUCUAGCAGGAGGUCGGGUUUGUGAAGCGAUUUGCAGGCUCAAGUGAGCUUGAACGAUAAAUGCAAAACAGCGGGCCACAACGAAA